UAAUACGAAGGGGGCUAGCGUUGUUCGGAAUUACUGGGCGUAAAGGGCGCGUAGGCGGUCGAGCGCGUCAGAUGUGAAAGCCCCGGGCUCAACCUGGGAACCGCAUUUGAAACGGCUGGACUCGAGUUCGGGAGAGGAUGGUGGAAUUCCCAGUGUAGAGGUGAAAUUCGUAGAUAUUGGGAAGAACACCGAGGGCGAAGGCAGCCAUCUGGACCGACACUGACGCUGAGGCGCGAAAGCGUGGGGAGCAAACAGGAUUAGAUACCCUGGUAGUCCACGCCGUAAACGAUGAGUGCUAGCCGCUGGGACGCAUGCGUGUCGGUGGCGGAGCUAACGCAUUAAGCACUCCGCCUGGGGAGUACGGCCGCAAGGUUA
RNAcentral lists this ribosomal RNA (375 nucleotides) under uncultured bacterium. RNAcentral describes it as "bacterial SSU rRNA". It matches the Rfam family "Bacterial small subunit ribosomal RNA", at positions 521 to 896 of the family's 1533-position model. The record is from RNAcentral.